This is a long non-coding RNA of Prionailurus viverrinus (fishing cat), 817 nucleotides long. RefSeq lists it as uncharacterized. NCBI's taxonomy places the organism in Eukaryota, Metazoa, Chordata, Mammalia, Carnivora, Felidae. The transcript has 5 exons. The record is from RefSeq and is a predicted model, not a curated record.
GAGACCCAGAGUUGGCAGGCAGCUGGGUGCCCUGUGUGAAUUCAAGCACGCCCCCAGCCCAAACAUGGCAGGAGUCAACCAAAAUCCAAGUUAAUACCAGGCUACCAUCUCUGCUCAUCAGGACCUUGGCAAGGUCUCCAGAUGGUCCAUCCACUCCCGGCCUGCCUUCCUCCCAUCUGAGGUCCACUCUGCAGGGCGUUGUCAGUCAGCCAACCCCAGGAGCCAGUCUCGUCCAUCGGUGUAUUCUCUGGCCUCAGCCGGGACCUGGCAUUUGAAACUUGGUGAUCAAACGUUGGGUGGUGCAAGGGUUGCCAUCAUACGAUUGGAAGUCAUUAAAACCGGUGUCCAGAGUCUCCACCCCACGGUGAUGUCCAGACCGAAACAGACCCAUUGGGAUCCCUUCUUGAACCUCGGGAGGCAGCCCUCCAUGGAGCCUGGUCUGGGAGGUAGGAGGGGGCAGCCCACUGUCACAUUUCCUGCCAUCCUCAGGGUCCGCCCCUCGCUGGCAGGCCGGUCACCUGCAUCGGCAUCGCGUACGAACCAAGAAGCUUGGCACUGGAGCCAGAUGAGGCUACAGGUGGCAUCGGGGGAGUGGGAUUCUCCCCCUGCAUUUGCACGAUGUCUUAUCGCAAAGCAACCGUGUCUCCUCUUUGAAAUACAGUGGGAACGCGUUAAAAUAGAGACUCAACCACGACCUGACAAAGGAAAAUACUCGACUCUGGUUGUGCUCCUAGCCCUGACUCUCGCUUUGAGAAGCGAAGGACCACCAUCUAGAACUUUGGGAAACAGUGCUAAGUGCGCAUUUGUUCGCGAAAGA